Molecule: long non-coding RNA, 499 nt
Organism: Mauremys reevesii (Reeves's turtle)
Lineage: Eukaryota; Metazoa; Chordata; Testudines; Geoemydidae
Exons: 3
Source: RefSeq, a predicted model, not a curated record
GAACUCCACACACACAAAGCUAUAAAAUAAAACAACAACACUUUAUUUGCUAAGGGGAGAGGAAGGAAUGGAAAGGGGAAUGGAUUAAUGAUUCUGGAGAUUCGGAAUAACACACAGGCACUUAUAAUACAAGAUGUUCUAUCUUUACAGACAUCAGCGAUAAAGGGGUGCAGGAUCCAGAAAAGAGAAGCCAGUAGUGAACACUGACCGUGGACAACAGAUGAAACAGACAGACGAACUAUUGCAAGAAGGUGUGGAUACAACAGUACAUUGAGAGCCGAGAAGGAAGGACUGUGCUGGAGUACUAAUUCUGAACAUGGCACUAGGUCUUUCAUGAACCCAAGGAGCUGAUAUAUUUCCAGAAACCCACCCCAUGGUACAUGCUCAGAUGGGAAGGGCUUGAACCACCCAACUAGAAGCAGAACACAGACAGAUGUUUUCCUCAGGUGCUACCCCAGACGAUACUGCCAGGACCGCAAUUCAUUGUGCAGCUUGUGCU